Molecule: unclassified non-coding RNA, 115 nt
Organism: Pongo abelii (Sumatran orangutan)
Lineage: Eukaryota; Metazoa; Chordata; Mammalia; Primates; Hominidae
Rfam family: Metazoan signal recognition particle RNA
About the family: The signal recognition particle (SRP) is a universally conserved ribonucleoprotein. It is involved in the co-translational targeting of proteins to membranes.
Source: Ensembl
GCUGGGUGUGGUGGCUCACGCCUGUAAUCCCAACACUGGGAGGCUGAGGUGGGUGGAUCACCUGAGGUCAGGAGUUUGUGACUAGCCUGACCAACAUGGUGAAACCCUGUCUCUA